Molecule: ribosomal RNA, 484 nt
Filed under: uncultured bacterium
Lineage: Bacteria
Description: partial 16S ribosomal RNA
Rfam family: Bacterial small subunit ribosomal RNA
Source: RNAcentral
AUUGAACGCUGGCGGCAGGCCUAACACAUGCAAGUCGAGCGGAAGAAGGGAGCUUGCUCCUGGAUUCAGCGGCGGACGGGUGAGUCAUGCCUAGGCAUCUGCCUGGUAGUGGGGGAUAACGUCCGGAAACGGGCGCUAAUACCGCAUACGUCCUGAGGGAGAAAGUGUGGGAUCUUCGGACCUCACGCUAUCAGAUGCGCCUAGGUCGGAUUAGCUAGUUGGUGGGGUAAAGGCCUCCCAAGGCGACGAUCCGUAACUGGUCUGAGAGGAUGAUCAGUCACACUGGAACUGAGACACGGUCCAGGCUCCUACGGGAGGCAGCAGUGGGGAAUAUUGGACAAUGGGCGAAAGCCUGAUCCAGCCAUGCCGCGUGUGUGAAGAAGGUCUUCGGAUUGUAAAGCACUUUAAGUUGGGAGAAAGGGCAGUAAGUUAAUACCUUGCGGUUUUGACGUUACCAACAGAAGAAGCACCGGCUAACUUCGUG